RNAcentral lists this unclassified non-coding RNA (314 nucleotides) under uncultured fungus. Its description in RNAcentral is "partial contains small subunit ribosomal RNA, internal transcribed spacer 1, and 5.8S ribosomal RNA". The stretch from base 1 to 73 matches the Rfam family "Eukaryotic small subunit ribosomal RNA", at positions 1759 to 1831 of the family's 1831-position model. The record is from RNAcentral. Lineage: Eukaryota; Fungi.
ACAAACUUGGUCAUUUAGAGGAAGUAAAAGUCGUAACAAGGUCUCCGUAGGUGAACCUGCGGAGGGAUCAUUAGUGAAAUCAACUUGCGGGAGGAUGUGCUGGCCUUGUUGCAUGUGCACUCCAAACGCUAAUCCACUUACCCCUGUGCACCUUUGACCUUGACCAUGCCUCUUGUCGACCAUGGUCGACACCAAAAGAGCUGGUCUUGGUACUUUACACACUCGUUGUCUCAGAAUGUCUCAUGUGCUUAAUGCGCAGAAAUACAACUUUCAACAACGGAUCUCUUGGCUCUCGCAUCGAUGAAGAACGCAGC